RNAcentral lists this ribosomal RNA (1077 nucleotides) under Staphylococcus epidermidis. Its description in RNAcentral is "bacterial LSU rRNA". It matches the Rfam family "Bacterial large subunit ribosomal RNA", at positions 1 to 1073 of the family's 2925-position model. Lineage: Bacteria; Bacillati; Bacillota; Bacilli; Caryophanales; Staphylococcaceae. The record is from RNAcentral.
AGAUUAAGUUAUUAAGGGCGCACGGUGGAUGCCUUGGCACUAGAAGCCGAUGAAGGACGUUACUAACGACGAUAUGCUUUGGGUAGCUGUAAGUAAGCGUUGAUCCAGAGAUUUCCGAAUGGGGGAACCCAGCAUGAGUUAUGUCAUGUUAUCGACAUGUGAAUUCAUAGCAUGUCAGAAGGCAGACCCGGAGAACUGAAACAUCUUAGUACCCGGAGGAAGAGAAAGAAAAAUCGAUUCCCUGAGUAGCGGCGAGCGAAACGGGAAUAGCCCAAACCAACAAGCUUGCUUGUUGGGGUUGUAGGACACUCUAUACGGAGUUACAAAAGAACAUGUUAGACGAAUCAUCUGGAAAGAUGAAUCAAAGAAGGUAAUAAUCCUGUAGUCGAAAACAUAUUCUCUCUUGAGUGGAUCCUGAGUACGACGGAGCACGUGAAAUUCCGUCGGAAUCUGGGAGGACCAUCUCCUAAGGCUAAAUACUCUCUAGUGACCGAUAGUGAACCAGUACCGUGAGGGAAAGGUGAAAAGUACCCCGGAAGGGGAGUGAAAGAGAACUUGAAACCGUGUGCUUACAAGUAGUCAGAGCCCGUUAAUGGGUGAUGGCGUGCCUUUUGUAGAAUGAACCGGCGAGUUACGAUCUGAUGCAAGGUUAAGCAGCAAAUGUGGAGCCGCAGCGAAAGCGAGUCUGAAUAGGGCGUUGAGUAUUUGGUCGUAGACCCGAAACCAGGUGAUCUACCCUUGGUCAGGUUGAAGUUCAGGUAACACUGAAUGGAGGACCGAACCGACUUACGUUGAAAAGUGAGCGGAUGAACUGAGGGUAGCGGAGAAAUUCCAAUCGAACUUGGAGAUAGCUGGUUCUCUCCGAAAUAGCUUUAGGGCUAGCCUCAAGUGAUGAUUAUUGGAGGUAGAGCACUGUUUGGACGAGGGGCCCCUCUCGGGUUACCGAAUUCAGACAAACUCCGAAUGCCAAUUAAUUUAACUUGGGAGUCAGAACAUGGGUGAUAAGGUCCGUGUUCGAAAGGGAAACAGCCCAGACCACCAGCUAAGGUCCCAAAAUAUAUGUUAAGUGGAAAAGGA